RNAcentral lists this long non-coding RNA (1844 nucleotides) under Anolis carolinensis (green anole). RNAcentral's name for it is "lncRNA (ENSACAG00000041713.1)". Lineage: Eukaryota; Metazoa; Chordata; Lepidosauria; Squamata; Anolidae. The record is from RNAcentral.
GAUUGGGAAGUAAGGAGACUAGAGGUAUUGGGGCACUGUGCAUCAAUAUGAUCUUAGCUGGGGAAAAACACAUGCAUUUAAGGGUUAUCUCACAUUUGACAUAUGAACAGCAUUUACUCCCAAAAGUCUUAGUGAGGUGAAGAACUGUUUUAGGUAGUUUUUGGUAAUUUAAUCCAGUUCAGUGUGGUAGUUUUGGCAAUGUAAUCCAUCCAGUUCAAUGUGGAUUUUAUACAGCUGUGUGAAAGGGGCCUUAGAGAUGUGAACAAUGAACUGAAAGCUAGAUCAAGUUCAAUUUAGUUGUUCACACUUCGAACAUGCUGGGAUCACUCUGGAGAGUUUUGAAAGCUCCAGAGUAUAUCCUAUGUCCUCUUGACCAACAUUAAUUGCUGGAUGCAUCACUUCUGCUGCAACAUCUGGACUCCCUGCAGUAUCUGAGUGGUGAAUUUGAAACUAUUUUAUGGGUCUAUCCUAUGAUUCCUGAGAUUUGUAGUAUACAGAAAACAUAAAAUUCCUAUGGUUUUUCUGUAAUGUUGACUUUGUGUUUUCAGAGGGUUGAUUGAAAAUGUUAUUUGUUCGUUUAUUUAUUCAUUUAAAAGAAGGCUUCCCAUAUUUUGAACUUAGUGAAAAGUGACCCCUUACAUCAAUGCCGGCUGUACUUUGCUACUUUCCACUUCAAGCACUAAAAUUCAGAGAGGAAAUCUAACUUAAGUUCAAGCAGUUCAGGCAAUAUUAAUGAAGCACUGUAUGACUCCCUUAUCCAUGGUAGAAUACGUUCCAAGAUAAGAUACCUGACAAAAUGGAUAACAGUAAAUCCUAUAUUUUGACUUUACUUCCUUUGGAAGCAGACCAAUGAAUUGCACUGGAAAAUCUACUAGGGUGGAGAAUAUUUUUUGGAAAAUGGAAAAAUGAAACCAUUUAUAUUGAACCCAUGCAUAAAGGGGGUGUAGUAUAUACCUAAAGUAACAAAGACCUUUAUACCUUUAUAUUCUAAGCAAUAAAAGCUUCAUACCUUAACAACCUAUAAGCACAACAAAAUCUAUGAGUGCUUUACAAAAUAAUUAUCAUUUAAUCAAUUUACUUUCUCCAGAAUGUCUUUAAAAUAGUCUGAACAUGUAAUUAGCAUAGCAUAUAUAGUAAUCUUACAUUUACCUAUUUUUAACCUGUAAAUAUUAGGAAGGUCAAACAAGUUCCAGCCAAGACAUCAUUUUAUUUAAUUUCAUUCUGUUUCAAAUGGGCAACAGGUGAUGAAGCAAUUCUAAUAGCAGUGGUUCCCCUUCAGGCUUCCCCAAUAGAGUUAAAGUGCACUGCUAGGUAAAGAAAAAGUAUUCUAUAAAAUAUAGAUCAGCAUAAAAGUAAAUGUAAAAAAGGAAUACAAUUGCUAACAUCUUUGUGAACAUAUAUGAAACUUACUACAGCAGAAGCGACGGGAAAAGAUAUCUAUAAGUAGGCGCACAAAGCAAAUGAACAACUAAAUUAGAUCUGGGGAAAUCGUCUGCAGCAAACAACAUAAUGCCUCUUAUUCUUAAUGCCUUGUUUGUUAUUGCUGCUUUGUAUUCUAUUAAUCUGUUAUGUAGAAUAGUUCUGCAAACAUUUUGAGUCAUGGAUUGCCUGCAAAUAGAGCUCACCACAUUUAUUAUUUGCUAUUAGUGGUAACUUUGAGAUGUUACCAUAGCAACACUUUUCCUUCCUGUUCAGAUUAGGGCAACAAAUAAAGAGGAAGAAAGGUGUAAGUUUCCAAACACAUUUUGGAUUUUCCCAUGGAGAGGGUGAGCAUAUUUCAUUCAGCAGAGAUGCAACAAAAUUAUAUAAACAAUAUGUAUUUUCAGCUUAUUGAUCAUUUCUCU